UCAGCUUGUUGGUGAGGUAAUGGCUCACCAAGGCGACGACGGGUAGCCGGCCUGAGAGGGUGACCGGCCACACUGGGACUGAGACACGGCCCAGACUCCUACGGGAGGCAGCAGUGGGGAAUAUUGCACAAUGGGCGAAAGCCUGAUGCAGCAACGCCGCGUGAGGGAUGACGGCCUUCGGGUUGUAAACCUCUUUUAGUAGGGAAGAAGGGAGCUUGCUCUUGACGGUACCUGCAGAAAAAGCACCGGCUAACUACGUGCCAGCAGCCGCGGUAAUACGUAGGGUGCAAGCGUUGUCCGGAAUUAUUGGGCGUAAAGAGCUCGUAGGCGGUUUGUCGCGUCUGCUGUGAAAUCCCGAGGCUCAACCUCGGGCUUGCAGUGGGUACGGGCAGACUAGAGUGCGGUAGGGGAGAUUGGAAUUCCUGGUGUAGCGGUGGAAUGCGCAGAUAUCAGGAGGAACACCGAUGGCGAAGGCAGAUCUCUGGGCCGUAACUGACGCUGAGGAGCGAAAGCAUGGGGAGCGAACAGGAUUAGAUACCCUGGUAGUCCAUGCCGUAAACGUUGGGCGCUAGAUGUAGGGACCUUUCCACGGUUUCUG
Molecule: ribosomal RNA, 598 nt
Filed under: Curtobacterium sp.
Lineage: Bacteria; Bacillati; Actinomycetota; Actinomycetes; Micrococcales; Microbacteriaceae
Description: bacterial SSU rRNA
Rfam family: Bacterial small subunit ribosomal RNA
Source: RNAcentral